This 447-nucleotide ribosomal RNA is filed under the name uncultured organism. Its description in RNAcentral is "partial 16S ribosomal RNA". It matches the Rfam family "Bacterial small subunit ribosomal RNA", at positions 335 to 798 of the family's 1533-position model. The record is from RNAcentral.
ACUCCUGCGGGAGGCAGCAGUGGGGAAUAUUGGACAAUGGGCGCAAGCCUGAUCCAGCCAUGCCGCGUGAGUGAUGAAGGCCCUAGGGUUGUAAAGCUCUUUCACCGGUGAAGAUAAUGACGGUAACCGGAGAAGAAGCCCCGGCUAACUUCGUGCCAGCAGCCGCGGUAAUACGAAGGGGGCUAGCGUUGUUCGGAUUUACUGGGCGUAAAGCGCACGUAGGCGGACUAUUAAGUCAGGGGUGAAAUCCCGGGGCUCAACCCCGGAACUGCCUUUGAUACUGGUAGUCUUGAGUUCGAGAGAGGUGAGUGGAAUUCCGAGUGUAGAGGUGAAAUUCGUAGAUAUUCGGAGGAACACCAGUGGCGAAGGCGGCUCACUGGCUCGAUACUGACGCUGAGGUGCGAAAGCGUGGGGAGCAAACAGGAUUAGAUACCCCAGUAGUCCCAU